UAGAGCCUUACAAAGAUCUACAUCCCAGUGAUCACACAAUAUAUGGUUGUGUUUGACCAACCUACCUGUCCUUAUGAAGAUGUUGUGGAAGAGAGACGAUCACCAUAAAUACGAGAGAGAAGCAAAAUGGGAUUUAUAUGCGCACUCUGACUGGACAAUUCCAUGAUCAUUUUCAGUGCCAAUACUUCAUGUUCAAAAAGAGUGAAUCCAUCAAAGGGCACUUAAGGAUAUGG
Long non-coding RNA from Ornithorhynchus anatinus (platypus), 233 nucleotides. RefSeq lists it as uncharacterized. NCBI's taxonomy places the organism in Eukaryota, Metazoa, Chordata, Mammalia, Monotremata, Ornithorhynchidae. The transcript is spliced from 3 exons. The record is from RefSeq and is a predicted model, not a curated record.